Beta vulgaris subsp. vulgaris (sugar beet) is the source of this 902-nucleotide long non-coding RNA. RefSeq lists it as uncharacterized. The transcript is spliced from 3 exons. The record is from RefSeq and is a predicted model, not a curated record. Lineage: Eukaryota; Viridiplantae; Streptophyta; Magnoliopsida; Caryophyllales; Amaranthaceae.
GCAGAGGUUUAGAACUUUUUUAAUCAACAUUUAGGGUUAAUGCUAGUAUUAUAGAACUUCAGAAUUUUAGAUUAUUAAGCACUCUAUGUCCCUGCUUUUCCUCUUUAUAGUAGGGAUUGAUAAUUUCAUACAUGUUUUUUUUUUCAACCGUGAACAUAGAUUAUUAAUACCGAACAACUUUCGUGAUCUUUUAUUUCAUUUCCGCUAUGAGUACUAUUGGAUAUUUCAUAUUUGCAUCUGAUAUAAUUUGUCAAUGUCAUCCAUUGCUUUUAGAAAAAAAGCUUUUAUAAUUAAUGUUUAAGAUGGAAAUCACUAGAAGUACAUUGCAAUAAUGGUCAGAGUACACAAUGCUGCAUUGAUUAAUGACACUGAGCUUUCUUUCAACAGGUUGCAGCCUCGUGAAAAAAGGAUAUGAUGGACUGCAAAGGGGUCUUUUUGGUUGGUUUCUUGCUCGUGAAGCUGUUCUUGUAAGAUUACAAGACAGUUGCAGGCAGAAGCUCAUUGGGAACCUCUAUCAUACAUGUGUACUAUCAUGACGCUCCUCCAACCUCUCAAGAUAACAUUGAUGAACUCGAUCAAAGAGGUGUAUGGAUUACAUAGCGAGGGAUCAACUCAAAGAAUAGAUGAUGAAUGAGUUUCUACCACAGUCCCUUCUUUGACGUACAUAUACAUUUAAGAUUUGAAUAUCAAUUUUUGGAUUUGGAUAUUGACAUCAUGUGGAUGUGGCUUAGGCUAAAUUUGAUCUUGUUUAUGAUUUAGAAUAAUAUUACUAAGUAUAUAGUAGUUUUUGGAAGUUUAGAAUUAUGAAUAUUAGAAUUAUUCUGUGAUACAAAGAAUUUCAGAAGUUUGGAAUGUCAUAUUCAAUUUAUUGAUUAUAAGAUUUUAUGGGUUGAGUAUUAAUU